UGCCGGCGAGUGGCGCACGGGUGCGUAACGCGUAUACAACCUACCUUAUACAGGGGUAUAGCCCAGGGAAACUUGGAUUAACACCCCAUAGUAAUAUGUUUUGGCAUCAUUACAUAUUUAAAACUACGGUGGUAUAAGAUGGGUAUGCGUCCCAUUAGCUUGUUGGUGUGGUAACGGCACACCAAGGCAACGAUGGGUAGGGGCCCUGAGAGGGGGAUCCCCCACACUGGUACUGAGACACGGACCAGACUCCUACGGGAGGCAGCAGUGAGGAAUAUUGGACAAUGGGCGGGAGCCUGAUCCAGCCAUGCCGCGUGCAGGAAGACUGCCCUAUGGGUUGUAAACUGCUUUUAUACGGGAAGAAACCCACCUACGUGUAGGUGGCUGACGGUACCGUAAGAAUAAGGACCGGCUAACUCCGUGCCAGCAGCCGCGGUAAUACGGAGGGUCCGAGCGUUAUCCGGAAUCAUUGGGUUUAAAGGGUCCGCAGGCGGCCAGAUAAGUCAGUGGUGAAAUUCCGUGGCUCAACCACGGAACUGCCAUUGAUACUGUUUGGCUUGAAUCAGUUCGAGGAUGCCGGAAUGUGUGGUGUAGCGGUGAAAUGCAUAGAUAUCACACAGAACACCAAUUGCGAAGGCAGGUGUCCAGAACUGUAUUGACGCUGAUGGACGAAA
RNAcentral lists this ribosomal RNA (674 nucleotides) under Croceibacter atlanticus. RNAcentral describes it as "bacterial SSU rRNA". It matches the Rfam family "Bacterial small subunit ribosomal RNA", at positions 86 to 758 of the family's 1533-position model. The record is from RNAcentral. Lineage: Bacteria; Pseudomonadati; Bacteroidota; Flavobacteriia; Flavobacteriales; Flavobacteriaceae.